Long non-coding RNA from Solanum lycopersicum (tomato), 345 nucleotides. RefSeq lists it as uncharacterized. NCBI's taxonomy places the organism in Eukaryota, Viridiplantae, Streptophyta, Magnoliopsida, Solanales, Solanaceae. The record is from RefSeq and is a predicted model, not a curated record.
UGGACAGCCAGUAGGGAUCCUUGGAAACAAUGGGAUACUGUUUAUGGAAUCUGCUCAGAAAGGAGCACACUUUAUUGAAUUGUGUACUCAACGUAACAUUCCUCUGAUCUUCCUUCAGAAUAUUACUGGAUUUAUGGGAGACGAUGAAGAAACCAAACAUUGAGAUGAUGAAGCAGAAAGGCCAACCUGAUAAGGGAUAAAACCACCAACUGAUCUGGCAAGGAUAGCAUGUGAUAUUAGACUGCUUUCUGAGGUUGCACUUUUCUAGAUCUACUCCAUUCUGUAGCAAUGUAUAAGCAAAAAAUUAACAUCAGUAUGAUAUAAUUUGCAAGACUAUUUGCACAA